This 1222-nucleotide ribosomal RNA is filed under the name uncultured organism. RNAcentral describes it as "bacterial SSU rRNA". It matches the Rfam family "Bacterial small subunit ribosomal RNA", at positions 215 to 1475 of the family's 1533-position model. The record is from RNAcentral.
UCGCUUUGGGAGGAGCUCGCUUACUAUCAGCUUGUUGGUAGGGUAAUGGCCUACCAAGGCUAUGACGGUUAGGGGGUGUGAGAGCAUGACCCCCAGCAUUGGCACUGAAACACUGGCCAAACACCUACGGGUGGCUGCAGUCGAGAAUCUUCCACAAUGGGGGAAACCCUGAUGGAGCGAUGCUGCGUGCGGGAUGAAGGCCUUCGGGUUGUAAACCGCUUUUGUAGGGGACGAAAUUUUUGACGGUACCCUUUCGAAUAAGAGGUUGCUAACUCUGUGCCAGCAGCAGCGGUAAUACAGAGACCUCAAGCGUUAUCCGGAUUUACUGGGCGUAAAGCGUCUGUAGGGGGUUUAUUAAGUUCCAAGUAAAAUUUCAAGGCUCAACUUUGAAUUCGCUUGGAAAACUAAUAAACUGGAGUCUAGCAGAGGUGCAUGGAACUUGUGGUGUAGGAGUGAAAUCCGUUGAUAUCACAAGGAACACCAAAGGCGAAGGCAUUGCACUGGGCUAGCACUGACCCUGAGAGACGAAAGCGUGGGGAGCAAAACGGAUUAGAUACCCGUGUAGUCCACGCCCUAAACGAUGAAUGCUAAAUGUUCGGGGAUUCGACCCCCUGGGUGUUACAGCUAACGCGUUAAGCAUUCCGCCUGGGAAGUACGGCCGCAAGGCUAAAACUCAAAGGAAUAGACGGGGAUCCGCACAAGCGGUGGAGCGUCUGGUUUAAUUCGACAGUAAGCGUGGUACCUCACCAGGGUUUGACAUCCCUUGACAGCCUUGGAAACAAGGUUUCCUUCGGGCAAGGUGACAGGUGCUGCAUGGUCGUCGUCAGUUCGUGCCGUGAGGUGUUCCGUUAAGUCGGGAAACGAACGAAACCCCUAUUGCAUGUUACAAUUUCCCAUGCAAGACUGCCCGGAUAUACUGGGAGGAAGGUGGGGAUGACGUCAGAUCUGCAUGGUCCUUAUACCCUGGGCGACACAGGCGCUACAAUGGCAGAGACAAAGGGUUGCAAAACCGCAAGGUGAAGCUAAUCCCAAAAACUUUGUCUAAGUUCGGAUUGAAGGCUGCAAUUCGCCUUCAUGAAGCUGGAAUCGCUAGUAAUCGUGAAUCAGCCACGUCACGGUGAAUAUGUUCCCGGAUCUUGUACUCACCGCCCGUCACACCAAGAGAGUUGGUAGCUCCCNGAAGCGUCCCGUUUUAGCGGGGCAUCACGGAGAGAUCAGCGAU